ACUACGAGCCCCAGCUUAAAACCCAAAGGACUUGGCGGUGCCCCACCCACCUAGAGGAGCCUGUUCUAUAAUCGAUAACCCCCGCUUAACCUCACCACUUCUUGCCAAUACCGCCUAUAUACCACCGUCACCAGCCCACCCCGUGAGGGAAAUAGUAGGCACAAUGAUAAGUCUCCAAAACGUCAGGUCGAGGUGUAGCGUAUAAAGUGGAAAGAAAUGGGCUACAUUCUCUAACCUAGAGCACACCCCAAAUCAUAUGAAAUUAGAUUAGAAGGAGGAUUUAGUACUAAAAAGAAACAAUAGUGUUCUUUUUAAGUUGGCCCUGGGGCGCGCACACACCGCCCGUCACCCUCUUCGAUACCAUCAUACCAGUCUCUUAACCAUUCCCAACCAAGCAUUACUAUAGAAGAGGCAAGUCGUAACAUGGUAA
RNAcentral lists this ribosomal RNA (430 nucleotides) under Bombina orientalis. Its description in RNAcentral is "partial 12S ribosomal RNA". It matches the Rfam family "Bacterial small subunit ribosomal RNA", at positions 879 to 1499 of the family's 1533-position model. The record is from RNAcentral. Lineage: Eukaryota; Metazoa; Chordata; Amphibia; Anura; Bombinatoridae.